UGCCCGGUAGCCAAGCGGUAAGGCAGCGGUUUUUGGUACCGCCAUUGCGUAGGUUCGAAUCCUACCCGGGCAA
This 73-nucleotide transfer RNA is filed under the name Candidatus Moranbacteria bacterium CG_4_9_14_3_um_filter_40_7. RNAcentral describes it as "tRNA-Gln". It matches the Rfam family "tRNA". Rfam says of the family: Transfer RNA (tRNA) molecules are approximately 80 nucleotides in length. Their secondary structure includes four short double-helical elements and three loops (D, anti-codon, and T loops). Lineage: Bacteria; Candidatus Moraniibacteriota. The record is from RNAcentral. RNAcentral also lists the same sequence under 2 other names.